RNAcentral lists this ribosomal RNA (253 nucleotides) under uncultured bacterium. RNAcentral's name for it is "partial 16S ribosomal RNA". It matches the Rfam family "Bacterial small subunit ribosomal RNA", at positions 524 to 776 of the family's 1533-position model. The record is from RNAcentral.
UACAGAGGUCUCAAGCGUUGUUCGGAUUCACUGGGCGUAAAGGGUGCGCAGGCGGUGGGGUUAGUCAUGUGCGAAAUCUCCGAGCUCAACUCGGAUGGUGUACAUGAAACUGCCUCACUUGAGAUUUUGAGAGGGGGUUAGAAUUCACGGAGUAGCAGUGAAAUGCGUAGAGAUCGUGAGGAAUACCAAAGGCGAAGGCAGACCCCUGGCAUUUAUCUGACGCUAAGGCACGAAGGCCAAGGUAGCGAACGGG